RNAcentral lists this ribosomal RNA (385 nucleotides) under Vibrio parahaemolyticus. RNAcentral describes it as "bacterial LSU rRNA". It matches the Rfam family "Bacterial large subunit ribosomal RNA", at positions 706 to 1089 of the family's 2925-position model. Lineage: Bacteria; Pseudomonadati; Pseudomonadota; Gammaproteobacteria; Vibrionales; Vibrionaceae. The record is from RNAcentral.
GGUGUAGACCCGAAACCAGGUGAUCUAUCCAUGGUCAGGUUGAAGCGAGAGUAAAAUCUCGUGGAGGACCGAACCACGUUGGUGUUGAAAAACCAUGGGAUGAGCUGUGGAUAGCGGAGAAAUUCCAAUCGAACUCGGAGAUAGCUGGUUCUCCUCGAAAUAGCUUUAGGGCUAGCGUCGUGUAAUUGAGUAAUGGAGGUAGAGCACUGAAUGGGCUAGGGGCUAUAGUAGUUACCGAACCCUAUCAAACUCCGAAUACCUUAUAUGUAAUCACAGCAGUCAGGCGGCGAGUGAUAAAAUCCGUCGUCAAGAGGGAAACAACCCAGACUACCAGCUAAGGUCCCUAAAUCUUACUUAAGUGGAAAACGAUGUGAAGUUACUUAAA